Molecule: long non-coding RNA, 236 nt
Filed under: Pelobates cultripes (western spadefoot toad)
Lineage: Eukaryota; Metazoa; Chordata; Amphibia; Anura; Pelobatidae
Source: RNAcentral
GUUUGGAAGAAGGACAAAUUAGUCAUUUAUUACAUGUGAGUUUACAGAGGAAGAGGUUCUAUUUCAACUGUCAAAAGUAAAGACAAAUAAGUCAAUGGGACCUGAUGGAAUACACCCAAAGUUAUUAAAAGAACUUAAUGAUGUACUAGCAAAACCAUUAACAGAUUUAUUUAACCAAUUAUUGUUAACAGGAGUAGUCCCAGAAGAUUGGAAGUUAGCAAAUGUGUCCAUUCACA